UCUUCAAGGGAAACUAAAGCAAUACAAAGGAAUUCUAAGUAUCAACGGCAUCUAUUUCAGAGUCCUCAAAUUCCAAAAGGUAACACCAGGAGCCCAGGAGUCAGGAGUCGGACAACCUCGGAUGAGACUGUGUUGAAGAAUAGUGUUGUGAUGAUGUGUAAUACAGAGAGAGCUCUGUGAUUUGGCGACAAGAGGCUUUUAUGAAUGAAGGUGGUUGAAGCCACGCCCCUUUUUGGAGGAAGACUGAUGAGAAGUCAAAGACGGAGCGUACUGAGACGGGCAUGGCUUGUAGUAGGAGAGUGCUGUUAGAGGCUGACCUUGGGGCAGACUGCCUGUAAAUGGACAAUGGUCAGAUUCUAAGGCCAACGUAGGACCUUCAUCGUUAGUAGUGAUGCAUGCGUCUUCCGGAAGUACCCCGUGUCACAUCACUCUUCAGUACAGGACGAUUCAUACCACAACCCGACAAUAGAAUUACCUCGGGGGGACGAGAUCUAUUAAUGGGUUCUGCUGACAUCCUCUAUGGACCUACAGUGGACCUUGCUUAAGGGACGAGGUAUAAUUAUGAUUAAAAAUAAGGAAGAUAUAGAGCAACCAUAGCUUCAACAGGAAGCUCUUGAUUGUAUGGUGCACAUAAUUUGCUUUCUUGUAAAAUUAAGUUUUAAUCUUGCACUGAUUUCAGAUGUCUUGGUUAACAUUCAUUAAAAUUCAAAAAUUGUGUAAUCUCUCUUUUCUAAUUUAAAUAAAAACCAGAACUGAAAUUUUUAAGAUUGUCUAGUUGUUCAGUUGUAAUUGCGUUUUGUCUUUUAUCUUGCCAUCAUAAAUUUGUAACUGGUUAUCAUUAUAUAGUAAUAUUGUUGGUCUCAAUAUCUACCAUGCAGCUGGAACAUUAGAGCGUUCUUAAACAUACGAUGUAUUUGUAGGAUGGUGUAAAAUAGGCUCGACACAUUUCAGUCAAGUUCUCGUGGAGGAUAUUUUAAAUAUGGAAGCAUACUUCGGUUUUUCACGCUGUAUGAAGUUUGAUGUCCAGAUCCUCCACAUAAAAGGCAUGAAGGCAAAAUAUAUUUGAUUCAGGUAAUUUACA
Macrobrachium nipponense is the source of this 1081-nucleotide long non-coding RNA. RefSeq lists it as uncharacterized. The record is from RefSeq and is a predicted model, not a curated record. NCBI's taxonomy places the organism in Eukaryota, Metazoa, Arthropoda, Malacostraca, Decapoda, Palaemonidae. The transcript has 3 exons.